Brassica napus (rape) is the source of this 1388-nucleotide long non-coding RNA. RefSeq lists it as uncharacterized. The record is from RefSeq and is a predicted model, not a curated record. Lineage: Eukaryota; Viridiplantae; Streptophyta; Magnoliopsida; Brassicales; Brassicaceae. The transcript has 4 exons.
UUUAACCAGACCAAGCGUCUUUACAAACACACAUCUAAGUCGUCUCUUGCUCUUCCCUUUGAUGAUCAUCGUUUCUGAUUUCUACAAUUCAUAGUUUCUCUGUAUUUAUCACCAUCAACUCACACUCAUUCAAUUAAGAUAUUUUCUCCAAUCUAGAUGAGAAAGCUAUCCUUUCACUUCCCUUUGUUCUCCUCUUAUAUAAAACCCAUUCAUUGAAGCUCACAUUCAAUCAUAUUCGACAACCUCUGUUCAGCGAUAUCAAUCCAUGGCGAUGAAAUCGGUUCAAAACUCUGGCAAGUCUCAAGAGAAAACGAAGCCCUGAACGAAAUCAGAGAAAGAAGAUCAGACUAUGAAUCUGAGAAUAUGAAAGAUGACGAAAACAUGUUGAAUGUUGUCACCUAAAGAAAAGAUACAAGAGACUUGAGGAACACUUGAUUUUCUCCUACACAAUUAGUUCCUUAAUUUUUUUUUUCUUCACCAGCUGUACUGCGGUCUAACCUUUGAUAUGUCCCUCUAAUAUUAGACUGAGAGGCACCAGCUAGAUGAUCAAUGAACUUCUCCGAGUUUGCCUGUUUUUACAAUUUUGUUUUCUUAAUGUGCGGUGAGAAUGGACAUAAGAGUAUCAUUGUAGGUAAAGCAUCAAGUUUUGGCUUUAAUACGUUGUGUACAUGGGAAUCUAGAAGGAUAUGAUUCUGAAGUGCUUGCCAUGUCCUCAUAGAUGACUUUGUUGAGCGUACAGGUUUGGAACCAAAUAUAGAGCUUUCUUUCUCAACACAUUUUACAAUAGAAACCCCUGUCGUUUUGUUAUUGAUUUACAGCAUUUUAGGACCGAAUAAGAACAUUGCCCCUUAACUGUGGUGAUAAAUAGGCUGAAUCAUGCCUUUAUGAAGAACCUCUUCCUGGUUUCUUUGGUUUUUAUACUCUUGAGAAGUUUUCAAACUCUUUGCAUAGUCUUAUUAAUAUUUUUUGCUGUUAGAUGAACAGCACAAAGAUUAUCGUCGCUGCCACACGGGAUUAAGAAGUGUUACAGGCUUAAAGAGAAUAAACAUCUAAAGACAAUGAAGAAAAAGUAUCAGAAACUCGAUACUCUUAUUCGCCCCCAAACUUGAAACAAAUCGGAUCCGACAAGAGCCCAAGAUAUUCAUUCAUGUUACAUUGUGGGAUCGAGUUUUCUCACAAGGGUUUGCGAAUCAUUAUAAUAUGAUGUGUACGCAAGGAUAGAAACCGCUCCACACCCGCAGAAAACUAAGGUCAGGCCUCAACCUCAAGAGUUAGCAACGCAAAGAAGGAAGGAUAUCAUUUACCAAAAAAAGAAGGAUAUCAAACCAGAGAUUUGAAGAAAAAGGCUGCAGACGGCGGAAAGACUAAGAAAUAAGAUUUAUUAUUCA